Molecule: ribosomal RNA, 253 nt
Filed under: uncultured bacterium
Lineage: Bacteria
Description: partial 16S ribosomal RNA
Rfam family: Bacterial small subunit ribosomal RNA
Source: RNAcentral
UACGUAGGGUGCGAGCGUUAAUCGGAAUUACUGGGCGUAAAGCGUGCGCAGGCGGUUCGUGAUGUCUGAUGUGAAAGCCCCGGGCUCAACCUGGGAAUUGCAUUGGAAACUAGCGGGCUGGAGUGUGGCAGAGGGGGGUGGAAUUCCACGUGUAGCAGUGAAAUGCGUAGAGAUGCGGAGGAACACCGAUGGCGAAGGCAGCCCCCUGGGCCAACACUGACGCUCAGGCACGAAAGCGUGGGGAGCAAACAGG